AAAAUAAAAAAAUGAAGUCUUCAAGUUUCACACUAACACUCUCUCUCUCUCCACUGUGAUCCAUUAAUUUCUUCCCACCUUUUUCCUUUUUCCCCUUCUCUUUUCUUGAAUCAGAAUCUUGAACUCAACCAUUAAAAAAAAAAGAAUAAAAACUUUGAUCCAACUCUUUGAUUCUUUCAAUAAAUUUCUCUCUGUACUGCCUGCUACUUCUCUUUGAUCCGG
RNAcentral lists this long non-coding RNA (222 nucleotides) under Citrus maxima (pomelo). RNAcentral describes it as "long non-coding RNA (CMAX_LNC003432)". The record is from RNAcentral. Lineage: Eukaryota; Viridiplantae; Streptophyta; Magnoliopsida; Sapindales; Rutaceae.